Hymenobacter sp. is the source of this 82-nucleotide non-coding RNA. NCBI's taxonomy places the organism in Bacteria, Pseudomonadati, Bacteroidota, Cytophagia, Cytophagales, Hymenobacteraceae. The record is from Rfam.
GCGGAUGUGGCGAAAUUGGUAGACGCGCCAGAUUUAGGCUCUGGUUCCUUACGGUGUGUGGGUUCGAGUCCCUCCAUCCGCA